This 496-nucleotide ribosomal RNA is filed under the name uncultured bacterium. RNAcentral's name for it is "partial 16S ribosomal RNA". It matches the Rfam family "Bacterial small subunit ribosomal RNA", at positions 28 to 506 of the family's 1533-position model. The record is from RNAcentral.
GAUGAACGCUGGCGGCGUGCCUAAUACAUGCAAGUCGAGCGAACAGAUGAGGAGCUUGCUCCUCUAACGUUAGCGGCGGUCGGGUGAGUAACACGUGGAUAACCUACAUAUAAGACUGGGAUAACUUCGGGAAACCGGAGCUAAUACCGGAUAAUAUAUUGAACCGCAUGGUUCAAUAGUGAAAGACGGUUUUGCUGUCACUUAUAGAUGGAUCCGCGCCGCAUUAGCUAGUUGGGAAGGUAACGGCUUACCAAGGCGACGAUGCGUAGCCGAACUGAGAGGGUGAUCGGCCACACUGGAACUGAGACACGGUCCAGACUCCUACGGGAGGCAGCAGGAGGGAAUCUUGCGCAAUGGGCGAAAGCCUGACGGAGCAACGCCGCGUGAGUGAUGAAGGUCUGCGGAUCGUAAAACUCUGUUAUUAGGGAAGAACAAAUGUGUAAGUAACCAUGCACGUCUUGACGGUACCUAAUCAGAAAGCCACGGCGAACUACGU